Molecule: ribosomal RNA, 270 nt
Filed under: uncultured bacterium
Lineage: Bacteria
Description: partial 16S ribosomal RNA
Rfam family: Bacterial small subunit ribosomal RNA
Source: RNAcentral
GUUUGAUGGCGACCGGCGCACGGUGAGUAACACGUAUCCAACCUGCCGAUGACUCGGGGAUAGCCUUUCGAAAGAAAGAUUAAUACCCGAUGGCAUAGUUCUUCCGCAUGGUUUCAUUAUUAAAGGAUUCCGGUAAAGGAUGGGGAUGCGUUCCAUUAGGUUGUUGGUGGGGUAACGGCCCACCAAGCCUUCGAUGGAUAGGGGUUCUGAGAGGAAGGUCCCCCACAUUGGAACUGAGACACGGUCCAAACUCCUACGGGAGGCAGCAUG